ACAGGUGCCUGCGAAAGCGAAAGCUGAAGUAUAGGUGCUGACGCCUGCCCGGUGCUGGAAGGUUAAGGAGAGAGGUCAGCUAAGGCGAAGCUUUGAACUGAAGCCCCAGUGAACGGCGGCCGUAACUAUAACGGUCCUAAGGUAGCGAAAUUCCUUGUCGGGUAAGUUCCGACCCGCACGAAAGGCGUAACGAUUUGGGCACUGUCUCAACGAGGGACCCGGUGAAAUUGAAAUACCUGUGAAGAUGCAGGUUACCCGCGACUGGACAGAAAGACCCCAUGGAGCUUUACUGCAGCUUGAGAUGGAAUCUCGGAAGUAGAUGCACAGGAUAGGUGGGAGACAAAGAAGUAUGUACUUAGGUAUGUAUGGAGUCGAUGUUGGGAUACCACCCUUCUAGUUCUGGGAUUCUAACGCCAGGAGUAACGACCCUGCGGACAAUCUCAGGUAGGCAGUUUGACUGGGGCGGUCGCCUCCGAAAGAGUAACGGAGGCGCCCAAAGGUUCCCUCAGGUCGGACAGAAACCGACCGACGAGUGCAAAGGCAGAAGGGAGCUUGACUGCGAGACCAACAAGUCGAGCAGAGACGAAAGUCGGGCUUAGUGAUCCGGUGGUUCCGAGUGGAAGGGCCAUCGCUCAACGGAUAAAAGCUACCCUGGGGAUAACAGGCUAAUCUCUCCCAAGAGUCCAUAUCGACGGGGAGGUUUGGCACCUCGAUGUCGGCUCAUCACAUCCUGGGGCUGGAGUAGGUCCCAAGGGUUGGGCUGUUCGCCCAUUAAAGUGGUACGCGAGCUGGGUUCAAAACGUCGUGAGACAGUUUGGUUCAUAUCCAUCGCGGGCGCAAGAAGUUUGAGAGGAGCUGCUCCUAGUACGAGAGGACCGGAGUGGACGGAUCAACGGUGUCCCAGUUGUCACGCCAGUGGCACGGCUGGAAAGCCGCAUCCGGGAAGGAUAAACGCUGAAAGCAUCUAAGCGUGAAGCCAACCUCAAGAUGAGACUUCUCAUCAGCAAUGAGUAAGACCCCUUACAGACGAUGAGGUAGAUAGGUUAUGAGUGGAAGAGCCGCAAGGCUUGGAGCGACAUAAAACUAAUAGGUCGAGGUCUUAACUUA
This 1107-nucleotide ribosomal RNA is filed under the name human oral metagenome. RNAcentral describes it as "bacterial LSU rRNA". It matches the Rfam family "Bacterial large subunit ribosomal RNA", at positions 1815 to 2925 of the family's 2925-position model. The record is from RNAcentral.